GAUGAACGCUGGCGGCGUGCCUAAUACAUGCAAGUCGAGCGAACAGAUGAGGAGCUUGCUCCUCUGACGUUAGCGGCGGACGGGUGAGUAACACGUGGAUAACCUACCUAUAAGACUGGGAUAACUUCGGGAAACCGGAGCUAAUACCGGAUAAUAUAUUGAACCGCAUGGUUCAAUAGUGAAAGACGGUUUUGCUGUCACUUAUAGAUGGAUCCGCGCCGCAUUAGCUAGUUGGUAAGGUAACGGCUUACCAAGGCAACGAUGCGUAGCCGACCUGAGAGGGUGAUCGGCCACACUGGAACUGAGACACGGUCCAGACUCCUACGGGAGGCAGCAGUAGGGAAUCUACCGCAAGGGGCGAAAGCCUGACGGAGCAACGCCGCGGGAGUGAUGAAGGUCUUCGGAUCGUAAAACUCUGUUAUUAGGGAAGAACAAAUGUGUAAGUAACUAUGCACGUCUUGACGGUACCUAAGCAGAAAGCCACGGCUAACUACGU
RNAcentral lists this ribosomal RNA (496 nucleotides) under uncultured bacterium. RNAcentral describes it as "partial 16S ribosomal RNA". It matches the Rfam family "Bacterial small subunit ribosomal RNA", at positions 28 to 506 of the family's 1533-position model. The record is from RNAcentral.